UACGGAGGGUGCGAGCGUUAAUCGGAAUUACUGGGCGUAAAGGGCGCGUAGGCGGCCCAUCAGGUCAGGUGUGAAAGCCCGGGGCUUAACCCCGGAAGUGCAUUUGAAACCGGUGGGCUUGAGUAUGGGAGAGGAAAGUGGAAUUCCUGGUGUAGAGGUGAAAUUCGUAGAUAUCAGGAGGAACACCAGUGGCGAAGGCGACUUUCUGGACCAAUACUGACGCUGAGGCGCGAAGGCGUGGGUAGCAAACAGG
Molecule: ribosomal RNA, 253 nt
Filed under: uncultured bacterium
Lineage: Bacteria
Description: partial 16S ribosomal RNA
Rfam family: Bacterial small subunit ribosomal RNA
Source: RNAcentral